GAAGGCCCGUUUUCCCGUGGCUAAAAGNAUUAACGNGUCGCGGUAUCUUACCGUGCAAAGGUAGCGUAAUCACUUGUCUUUUAAUUGAGGACCCGUAUGAAUGACAAAACGAGGGCUCAACUGACUCCUUCUUUUAGUCAAUGNAAAUUGAUCUCCCCGUGCAGAAGCGGGGAUUCAUUCAUAAGACGAGAAAGACCCUAUGAAGCUUUAUACAAUCGGACAUACCCUGGUAAUACACCCCCAUUAAAGGGCCAAAACCUACCCACCCAUGUCCCCGUCUUAGGUUGGGGCGACCCCGGGGAACAAAAACCCCCCACGUGGAAUAGUAGNAUCCGCUAUCCACAACCGAGUAGCCACGUACUCCAAAAACCAGUAACCUCUGACCACANAAUAUGAACCCGGNAAUGCCNAUCAACGAACCAAGUUANUCUANGGAUAUACAGCGCCCUCCCCUUUUUAGAGGCCGCAUCUACUAGGGGGUUUAC
Molecule: ribosomal RNA, 485 nt
Filed under: Trichiurus sp. 1-Nakabo
Lineage: Eukaryota; Metazoa; Chordata; Actinopteri; Scombriformes; Trichiuridae
Description: partial 16S rRNA
Rfam family: Archaeal large subunit ribosomal RNA
Source: RNAcentral